Molecule: long non-coding RNA, 1178 nt
Filed under: Sus scrofa (pig)
Lineage: Eukaryota; Metazoa; Chordata; Mammalia; Artiodactyla; Suidae
Description: lncRNA (ENSSSCG00005001462.1)
Source: RNAcentral
UCCUCUUCCAUUUCAUUUUAGCAUAGCACGGUCCUUCUCAUCGAUUAGAGCUCGUCUCAAUUUUCUUUUCUGAAAACUCCUGCAUUAGGAGUUUCCUUGUGGCUCAGCAAGUUAAGGAUCUGGCAUUGUCAGCGCUGUGGCUCCGGACGCUGCUGUGGCACAACUUUGAUCCCUAGCCCAGGAACUUGCAUGUGCUGGGGGUACAGCCAAAAAAUAAAAUAAAAAACCUUUAUUAAAAAGACUUUAUCUAAAAUGAUCACAUUUGUUUGUUCACAUGUGUUAUUGAGAACCUAAGCAUAGUCUGUCCUCACUGAUAUUAUGAAGUAGAUAAAAACAUACACUGGAGGGAGUUUCUGUUGUUGUGCAGUGGAAACGAAUCUGACUGGUAACCAUGAGGUUGCAGGUUCGAUCUCUGGCCUAACAUUGCCGUGAGCUGCGGUGUAGGUCGAAGAUGCAGCUGAGAUCCUGUGUUGCUGUGGCUGUGAUAUAGGCCAGAAGCUGUAGCUCCGAUUCAACCCCUAGCCUGGGAACUUCCAUGUGCCACAGGUGAGGCCCUAAAAAGCAAGAAACAAAAAACAAACAAAAAAAACCAUCUGAAUUUUGAAGACUUGGUAUGAAGAAAAGGAUAUAAAAUGCCUCAUUAAUAAAAUGCUUUGCAUAUCUUGAGUUAAAUACAACAAAUUAUUAAAAUUAAUUCAUCCAUUUCCUUUUACUUUUUGUAGUGUAGAUGGCUACUCCAAAAAUAAAACUAUGGAGUCCUGGCCUGGCUCAGCGGAAACGAAACUGUUAAAUUUUUUUUUUUUUUUUUGGUCUUUUUACCUUUUCUAGGACCGAUCCUGUGGCAUAUGGAGGGGAAGAGGGAGGGACCCCUGAGACAGCAGGGAAGCCCUCAGGGUUGGCUGUAAACCUUUUCAGAAGAAAGCAAUGCUCUGGAAUGUCCUUUGAGCCUUGCGUGGUUGUGGCAAAGGGAUAGUCCAUUUUUUUUUCCUUAUGAUAGAUGAGGACUGCACCCCUCUGGAGGGUCCAGGUCGCAUGAACUAUUUUGACUGAAAUAGCUAAAUAAAGAUGCUAACAAAUAGGGAGCUAUCUAGACCAAUAACUCUCAGGCAAUGGUUUGCCAACCGUGAGCACUGGUGGGCUCUUUGUCACUGUGCGCACCUUAGGGUAGGGUAGGGGUU